Molecule: long non-coding RNA, 208 nt
Filed under: Meriones unguiculatus (Mongolian gerbil)
Lineage: Eukaryota; Metazoa; Chordata; Mammalia; Rodentia; Muridae
Description: SMAD5 antisense RNA 1 conserved region 1 (ENSMUGG00000017200.1)
Rfam family: SMAD5 antisense RNA 1 conserved region 1
Source: RNAcentral
UGAAAGGAGGUUUUGUUCUUCCUGUACACUUGGAACUUCUUCCUCUGGUGUCUGCUUUCCAUAACUUUGAGGAAGGGAGGUGUCUCAUGGGGCUAUGCAGCUAUGGAUGCUUGUGAUGAUGCUUCUGCUGGGUGAUACCCCCAAACACUGAGUUCUUCUAGUUCCACCGGUUGUGCAGGUAUAUUAGCAAAAGGUGGACUUGAAAUAC